GUCUGUGAAGCCACAGCACCCGAGUUCAUGGGCCCCAAGAAGAAACACCUGGACUAUUUGAUUCAGUGUACGAAUGAAAUGAAU
Molecule: long non-coding RNA, 84 nt
Organism: Amblyraja radiata (thorny skate)
Lineage: Eukaryota; Metazoa; Chordata; Chondrichthyes; Rajiformes; Rajidae
Exons: 3
Source: RefSeq, a predicted model, not a curated record